Molecule: ribosomal RNA, 460 nt
Filed under: uncultured bacterium
Lineage: Bacteria
Description: partial 16S ribosomal RNA
Rfam family: Bacterial small subunit ribosomal RNA
Source: RNAcentral
CCUACGGGAGGCAGCAGUGAGGAAUAUUGGUCAAUGGACGAGAGUCUGAACCAGCCAAGUAGCGUGAAGGAUGACUGCCCUAUGGGUUGUAAACUUCUUUUAUAUGGGAAUAAAAUGUUCCACGUGUGGGAUUUUGUAUGUACCAUAUGAAUAAGGAUCGGCUAACUCCGUGCCAGCAGCCGCGGUAAUACGGAGGAUCCGAGCGUUAUCCGGAUUUAUUGGGUUUAAAGGGAGCGUAGGUGGAUUGUUAAGUCAGUUGUGAAAGUUUGCGGCUCAACCGUAAAAUUGCAGUUGAAACUGGCAGUCUUGAGUACAGUAGAGGUGGUCGGAAUUCGUGGUGUAGCGGUGAAAUGCUUAGAUAUCACGAAGAACUCCGAUUGCGAAGGCAGUUCACUGGACUGCAACUGACACUGAGGCUCGAACGUGUGGGUAUCAAACAGGAUUAGAUACCCCAGUAGUC